This is a non-coding RNA of Lolium perenne, 297 nucleotides long. NCBI's taxonomy places the organism in Eukaryota, Viridiplantae, Streptophyta, Magnoliopsida, Poales, Poaceae. The record is from RefSeq and is a predicted model, not a curated record.
AAGGGGAUAAUUUAUCUCGAUGAGAACAAUAGGACAAAAUAAGCACAUCAAAUACAUAUAACCCAAUAACUCAGACAGACAAUUACACAGAAUCUCAAAUUUAUAUACUAUCGAACUCAAUUGGAGAAGGUGUUUGAUAAACCCCCAAAAUGCUUUACAGAAGGGAACUGUCGAUGUAUCAGUAUUGGGGAAGGGGCCUUGUUUCCUAUAGAGAUGUUGUCAAAUCACUAAACCUUCUAUAGACAAGGAAGCAAGCGAUUUAUUACAGGUUCAGUCUCCUGACAAUACAUUAUCUGA